AUUGAACGCUGGCGGCAUGCUUUACACAUGCAAGUCGAACGGUAACAGGCCUUCGGGUGCUGACGAGUGGCGAACGGGUGAGUAAUGCAUCGGAACGUACCCAGAGGUGGGGGAUAACGCAGCGAAAGCUGUGCUAAUACCGCAUGUGAUCUGAGGAUGAAAGCGGGGGACCGGGCAGAAAUGUUUGGCCUCGCGCCUUUGGAGCGGCCGAUGUGGGAUUAGCUAGUUGGGGGGGUAAAGGCCUACCAAGGCGACGAUCCGUAGCUGGUCUGAGAGGACGACCAGCCACACUGGGACUGAGACACGGCCCAGACUCCUACGGGAGGCAGCAGUGGGGAAUUUUGGACAAAGGGCGCAAGCCUGAUCCAGCAAUGCCGCGUGCGGGAAGAAGGCCUUCGGGUUGUAAACCGCUUUUGGCAGGAACGAAACGGUGUCCGCUAAUACCGGGCGCUAAUGACGGUACCUGCAGAAUAAGCACCGGCUAACUACGUG
RNAcentral lists this ribosomal RNA (492 nucleotides) under uncultured bacterium. RNAcentral describes it as "partial 16S ribosomal RNA". It matches the Rfam family "Bacterial small subunit ribosomal RNA", at positions 29 to 507 of the family's 1533-position model. The record is from RNAcentral.